AGAUGUCUGGACCCGCAGGCCGCUCAGUUUCCCGGUGUCCGCUGGCAGCCUCGAGCUAGGGGCGCGCUCUGGCCCGCGGUGCAGUCGCGCAGUAUAGCAGGGCGGCCUUGGGGCUCUGAGGCCCAACCGGCGAAAGAAGUAGACUCGGCCCUAACCAUCUCGACGCUACAAUUUUUGUUUCUGGAUCUCUGAACUGGGGAGUGAGUGCUGUGGAGUGAGGGGGAAAUAAGAUAAACAUGAGACCUGGCCCAGUAGACGCGUUUUCAGUUCUUGCUGACCUGC
RNAcentral lists this long non-coding RNA (282 nucleotides) under Homo sapiens (human). Its description in RNAcentral is "non-protein coding lnc-KCNH1-2:5". Lineage: Eukaryota; Metazoa; Chordata; Mammalia; Primates; Hominidae. The record is from RNAcentral.